CUGCAGCCCGAGUGGUGAUCGAUUUUAUUGAGCCUAAAGCGUCCGUAGCCGGACUAGUAAACCCUUGGGUAGAUUGGGCAGCUUAACUGUCCAAAUUCCGAGGGGACUGCUAGUCUUGGGACCGGGAGAGGUCAGAGGUACUCAAGGGGUAGGGGCUAAAUCCUGUAAUCCUUUGGGGACCACCAGUGGCGAAGGCGUCUGACUAGAACGGAUCCGACGGUAAGGGACGAAACCCUGGGGCGCGAACCGGAUUAGAUACCCGAGUAGUCC
This 270-nucleotide ribosomal RNA is filed under the name uncultured archaeon. RNAcentral describes it as "partial 16S ribosomal RNA". It matches the Rfam family "Archaeal small subunit ribosomal RNA", at positions 477 to 747 of the family's 1478-position model. The record is from RNAcentral.